GGGUGAUGUAUUCCUUAGUAUUUGGGCCUAGAUGAAUUAAGAUUGGUCUCAAAAUCAGAUGUGUAUAUGAUGCUCCAAAGUGGUGCUUGAUGUCAUCAUGCAUUGCAUGGGCACUUUUAUCACCAUUUUGUAGCCAGUGAUGCUUGGAAUUUAGUACUAAUGUUGUGUUAAUAGAUUCAUGAAUCCACUAAAUCCAAUAAAAAACC
This 206-nucleotide long non-coding RNA is filed under the name Elaeis guineensis (African oil palm). RNAcentral's name for it is "long non-coding RNA (EGUI_LNC007397)". Lineage: Eukaryota; Viridiplantae; Streptophyta; Magnoliopsida; Arecales; Arecaceae. The record is from RNAcentral.